UGCAAGUCGAACGAGACAAAGGUGCUUGCACCUUUAGAAAGUGGCGAACGGGUGAGUAACGCGUGGGUAACCUGCCCUAUGGAAAGGAAUAGCCUCGGGAAACUGGGAGUAAUGCCUUAUAGUAUAUAGAGGUCGCAUGAUUUUUAUAUGAAACGCUCCGGCGCCAUAGGAUGGACCCGCGUCCCAUUAGCUGGUUGGUGAGAUAACAGCCCACCAAGGCGACAAUGGGUAACCGGUCUGAGAGGGCGAACGGUCACACUGGAACUGAGACACGGUCCAGACUCCUACGGGAGGCAGCAGUGGGGAAUAUUGCGCAAUGGGGGAAACCCUGACGCAGCAAUACCGCGUGAGUGAAGAAGGUUUUCGGAUCGUAAAGCUCUGUUAUUGGGGAAGAAAAAAAGACGGUACCCAAGAAGAAAGUCCCGGCUAACUACGUGCCAGCAGCCGCGGUAAUACGUAGGGGACAAGCGUUGUCCGGAUUUACUGGGCGUAAAGGGCACGCAGGCGGUUUUUUAAGUCAGAUGUGAAAGGUACCGGCUCAACCGGUGACAUGCAUUUGAAACUGAAAGACUUGAGUAUUGGAGAGGCAAGUGGAAUUCCUGGUGUAGCGGUGAAAUGCGUAGAUAUCAGGAGGAACACCGGUGGCGAAGGCGGCUUGCUGGACAAAUACUGACGCUGAGGUGCGAAAGCGUGGGGAGCAAACAGGAUUA
This 710-nucleotide ribosomal RNA is filed under the name uncultured bacterium. RNAcentral's name for it is "bacterial SSU rRNA". It matches the Rfam family "Bacterial small subunit ribosomal RNA", at positions 56 to 780 of the family's 1533-position model. The record is from RNAcentral.